Molecule: ribosomal RNA, 253 nt
Filed under: uncultured bacterium
Lineage: Bacteria
Description: partial 16S ribosomal RNA
Rfam family: Bacterial small subunit ribosomal RNA
Source: RNAcentral
UACAGAGGGGGCAAGCGUUGUUCGGAAUUACUGGGCGUAAAGGGCGCGUAGGCGGCCUGCUAAGUCGAACGUGAAAUCCCUGGGCUCAACCCAGGAGCUGCGUCCGAUACUGGUUGGCUUGAAUCCGGGAGAGGGACGUGGAAUUCCAGGUGUAGCGGUGAAAUGCGUAGAUAUCUGGAGGAACACCGGUGGCGAAGGCGACGUCCUGGACCGGCAUUGACGCUGAGGCGCGAAAGCCAGGGGAGCAAACGGG